UCUCCGUAGGUGAACCUGCGGAGGGAUCAUUACUGAGUGAGGGUUUAACCGCCCGACCUCUAACCCUUUGUGAAUCGUACUCGUUGCUUCGGGGGCGACCCUGCCGUUUCGACGGCGAGCGCCCCCGGAGGCCUUCAAACACUGCAUCUUUGCGUCGGAGUUUGACACAAAUGAAACAAAACUUUCAACAACGGAUCUCUUGGUUCUGGCAUCGAUGAAGAACGCAGC
Molecule: unclassified non-coding RNA, 228 nt
Filed under: uncultured fungus
Lineage: Eukaryota; Fungi
Description: sequence contains ITS1, 5.8S rRNA gene
Rfam family: 5.8S ribosomal RNA (bases 180-228)
Source: RNAcentral